RNAcentral lists this ribosomal RNA (474 nucleotides) under Bacillus subtilis. RNAcentral's name for it is "bacterial SSU rRNA". It matches the Rfam family "Bacterial small subunit ribosomal RNA", at positions 71 to 529 of the family's 1533-position model. The record is from RNAcentral. Lineage: Bacteria; Bacillati; Bacillota; Bacilli; Caryophanales; Bacillaceae.
UUUGGGAGCUUGCUCCCUGAUGUUAGCGGCGGACGGGUGAGUAACACGUGGGUAACCUGCCUGUAAGACUGGGAUAACUCCGGGAAACCGGGGCUAAUACCGGAUGGUUGUUUGAACCGCAUGGUUCAAACAUAAAAGGUGGCUUCGGCUACCACUUACAGAUGGACCCGCGGCGCAUUAGCUAGUUGGUGAGGUAACGGCUCACCAAGGCAACGAUGCGUAGCCGACCUGAGAGGGUGAUCGGCCACACUGGGACUGAGACACGGCCCAGACUCCUACGGGAGGCAGCAGUAGGGAAUCUUCCGCAAUGGACGAAAGUCUGACGGAGCAACGCCGCGUGAGUGAUGAAGGUUUUCGGAUCGUAAAGCUCUGUUGUUAGGGAAGAACAAGUACCGUUCGAAUAGGGCGGUACCUUGACGGUACCUAACCAGAAAGCCACGGCUAACUACGUGCCAGCAGCCGCGGUAAUACGAA